AUGACUACUCAAGGUACACGUGGGUGUUUCUUCAAGAGGAAGAGCGAGACCCAACAAACUGUCAUUGACUUUGCAAAUGAAGCACAACGUCAACACAAUGCAAAGAUCUUGACAAUAAGAAGUGAGAACGGCACCGAGUUCAAGAACUACACCUUGGAUGAAUUUCUUAGUGAUGAGGGAAUUGAGCAUCAAUAUUCCGCACCAUACACCCCUCAACAAGACGGUGUUGCGGAGAGGAAGAACCGGACGUUGAUGGAUGCGGCAAGGACCAUGAUGGUGGAGUUCAAAUCUCCGUACAACUUUUGGGCCGAAGCCAUCAACACCGCGUGUCAUCCACCCACAAGCUUGAGACUCCUGUCGAUUUCCGUCCUCACCGCAAUGCUACAUCCACCCACAAGCAAGCCCUUUGGCCCUACUGCACUGUGA
RNAcentral lists this ribosomal RNA (426 nucleotides) under Triticum aestivum (bread wheat). RNAcentral describes it as "partial small subunit ribosomal RNA". The record is from RNAcentral. Lineage: Eukaryota; Viridiplantae; Streptophyta; Magnoliopsida; Poales; Poaceae.